This 200-nucleotide ribosomal RNA is filed under the name uncultured bacterium. Its description in RNAcentral is "partial 16S ribosomal RNA". It matches the Rfam family "Bacterial small subunit ribosomal RNA", at positions 328 to 539 of the family's 1533-position model. The record is from RNAcentral.
ACGCUCGACACCUACGGGAGCAGCAGUGGGGAAUAUUGGGCAAUGGGCGCAAGCCUGACCCAGCAACGCCGCGUGAAGGAAGAAGGCCCUCGGGUUGUAAACUUCUUUUCUUAGGGACGAAGCAAGUGACGGUACCUAAGGAAUAAGCCACGGCUAACUACGUGCAGCAGCCGCGGUAAUCUGAGGCGGGCUGGCAAGGC